This 165-nucleotide ribosomal RNA is filed under the name uncultured bacterium. Its description in RNAcentral is "partial 16S rRNA". It matches the Rfam family "Bacterial small subunit ribosomal RNA", at positions 355 to 511 of the family's 1533-position model. The record is from RNAcentral.
UAGGGAAUCUUCCACAAAUGGACGCAAGUCUGAUGGAGCAACGCCGCGUGAGUGAAGAAGGUCUUCGGAUCGUAAAACUCUGUUGUUAGAGAAGAACACGAGUGAGAGUAACUGCUCAUUCGAUGACGGUAUCUAACCAGCAAGUCACGGCUAACUACGUGCCAC